This 74-nucleotide transfer RNA is filed under the name Caudoviricetes sp. RNAcentral's name for it is "tRNA-Pro". It matches the Rfam family "tRNA". From Rfam's summary of the family: Transfer RNA (tRNA) molecules are approximately 80 nucleotides in length. Their secondary structure includes four short double-helical elements and three loops (D, anti-codon, and T loops). Further hydrogen bonds mediate the characteristic L-shaped molecular structure. tRNAs have two regions of fundamental functional importance: the anti-codon, which is responsible for specific mRNA codon recognition, and the 3' end, to which the tRNAs corresponding amino acid is attached (by aminoacyl-tRNA synthetases). tRNAs cope with the degeneracy of the genetic code in two manners: having more than one tRNA (with a specific anti-codon) for a particular amino acid; and 'wobble' base-pairing, i.e. permitting non-standard base-pairing at the 3rd anti-codon position. Lineage: Duplodnaviria; Heunggongvirae; Uroviricota; Caudoviricetes. The record is from RNAcentral.
CUCGGAUUAGCUCAGUCUAGUAGAGCGCUCGCUUUGGGAGCGAGAAGUCGAGGGAGCGAAGCCUUCAUCCGAGA